RNAcentral lists this ribosomal RNA (510 nucleotides) under uncultured Bacteroidota bacterium. Its description in RNAcentral is "bacterial SSU rRNA". It matches the Rfam family "Bacterial small subunit ribosomal RNA", at positions 562 to 1078 of the family's 1533-position model. The record is from RNAcentral. Lineage: Bacteria; Pseudomonadati; Bacteroidota.
AAAGGGUCCGUAGGCGGUUUAGUAAGUCAGUGGUGAAAGCCCAUCGCUCAACGGUGGAACGGCCAUUGAUACUGCUGAACUUGAAUUAUUAGGAAGUAACUAGAAUAUGUAGUGUAGCGGUGAAAUGCUUAGAGAUUACAUGGAAUACCAAUUGCGAAGGCAGGUUACUACUAAUGGAUUGACGCUGAUGGACGAAAGCGUGGGUAGCGAACAGGAUUAGAUACCCUGGUAGUCCACGCCGUAAACGAUGGAUACUAGCUGUUGGAAGCAAUUUCAGUGGCUAAGCGAAAGUGAUAAGUAUCCCACCUGGGGAGUACGUUCGCAAGAAUGAAACUCAAAGGAAUUGACGGGGGCCCGCACAAGCGGUGGAGCAUGUGGUUUAAUUCGAUGAUACGCGAGGAACCUUACCAAGGCUUAAAUGUAGAUUGACCGGUUUGGAAACAGAUCUUUCGCAAGACAAUUUACAAGGUGCUGCAUGGUUGUCGUCAGCUCGUGCCCGUGAGGUGUCAG